Molecule: long non-coding RNA, 3503 nt
Organism: Myiozetetes cayanensis
Lineage: Eukaryota; Metazoa; Chordata; Aves; Passeriformes; Tyrannidae
Exons: 4
Source: RefSeq, a predicted model, not a curated record
GCACGGGACAUCGUGGUAGAUGAGGGACUUUUGCCACAGGUGAAGUCUCUGUAGGGCAAUUCUGGCUCCCCUGAGUUCUCAGCCUCACGUUUGCCGAGCUGGGGAAUAGAGUGUUACCUCCGGUUGUAUAAAACUGCGAGGGAGUUCCGCAAGAUUCGGGAGUUCUUUUGUUUGACCAAAGAAGCAGCGGGUUUUGUUGGACAGUCCUAGUUAUUUGGUGCAGAUCAUCGUUUUGGUUUUAGCUACAGUUAGUCAGGCAAAUGGAAAACCUGUGGUUUCUUCUCAGGACUUAAAAAAAAAAAGUCUGUGAAGGAUCAUCUUCCGGGAUUGCUCCCAGUCCUCAGCUCAUCUUCAACUUCAGGACUGGCAAAACUACAUCACCUUGCAGUCAGUUGUCAGUAAUUACCUGUACCAUGCAUUGCUGCUUCUCUGCAUCUCUGAAGCUAAUCCAGACAGGACCCUCUGGAUCCUGCUUUUAAUCCUUAUUGAUAAGAGUCAUUUGCCUGCCUUCCAGCUCUCUGCUAGACAUUCCCAUAGAGACAGUAACAGCAAUUAACUUGGAAGACCUAAGGACACCCGAGUACCCUUUGGAACUGUUUUUGAUGUUAUUGUAUUGUUAAAAGUCCCUGGCUGGUGGAGGCAAUAAAGAACAUCGCAGUGCCUGGAAUGAGGUCAGUCCUUAUCGGACACGACGCUUUGCUGUUCAUCAGAGGGAAGUUGUGUCUAAGCGUUCGCUCUUGGGCAAACCACGGGGUGUUUUCAUUACUAGGUUGUUUCAAUUUCACAGAAUUGUUAUGAGGAAGAAACCCCGAGCCAAGGAAGGUGGAUAAGGCAGAGCCUGAUAGGAAAAGGAAUAAACCAGCUCUGGGUGUUCAGGACAGACAAUUCCUCGGGUAGUGCAGGAAGUGUGACUGAUCCGUUAGAUGGCUACCAUGAAGCUGACAUAUAAAGUAUUGAUUGCUUAGAAGUCUAAAACAGUGAAACAAUUGGUCUUCCAAAAAAUUUUUUUAAUUUAUUUUAUGAACGAGUUCAAAAUUAUUUUGUUCUUUAAUGCCAGACCAUUUUUCAGCAUCUUGUCAAGAAAAGGAAAAUAGAAAAGGUCUAAUUUUAAGCUCUCAAAACAGGGAGCGCUGUUUUGAGCACUCAAAAACUUCAUAAGCCCCAUUAUAUCCUUCUAGAGGGACCUCAAAAUUCCUGAUACUUAUCCCUUUAGGCAUACAGUCUUCACAGCUCCCCCAAGCCAAAUCCCCAUGCAAGACUUGGGCAGAAAACCAAACCCAUCAGACUAAUAAAGAGACUGCACUGUAUCGUUCCUUCUGCUGACUCAAGGUUUAUGAUGGCUGAGCUCAUCAUGAAGAAAUGUGAGAGAGAAAAUGGUGAUUCCUGUCAAAAACCAGCUCAUGGGCAGAGCCUCAUCGUAGACUCAGCAGUCUGGAGAGAGAAUGCAUCUCUGAAGGAACAAUGUCCAUGAGCAAUCGGAUUGUUAGUCCAGAAAAAUCAAGGAAGAGUGGACUAACUAAUUAUUUUUUCUUGAUCUGUGGUCAAACAGAUGUAGAAGGGACUAUAUCUAUGGGAUAAGGCUUCAUGAAUCACCAUUAUUUAGUAAUUGCUGACCUGGAACACUUGCCAAAACCCACAAACCACUCAGUACGUUGCAGUUUGUGAGACCUUAUGAGCCAAGUAAUAUUUUAGAGUUCCUGAAGCUAUUACCCACCUUUGCAGGAAGAGAGAGAUUUUGAAAGUUGAAGAAUCGUUUAUAACACAGUGGCGAGGCUAUCAUGAGACAACUUGUAAAUUAUAUCCAGUGCCAAAAUCCAGUUGGACUGCAAUGGCAUUCCGGUGCCCAGGAGCAGUGCUGAGUACCCACACAUGUGAAUGGCAAAGUGAGCGUGUGCACUUUGUGUCUUUCUUGGAUCAGCUGCUGUGUUUGGUAUCAAGCCUUGUAAAGUGCUGCUGUAGAACUAGUUCGAACAAACCCUCACUUAGCAGAUUUUCUCCUCCAGCCUUGUCCCUUCAGCAGAUUACUCGGAUUUCUUUAAGACAUAAAGACCAUUUUAAAGUAAGGCUGUAGUGUAAGUGCCAGCUGUUGUUAAACACUGGGUUUCAUUAGCACACUGUAAAAAAGGUCUAAGCUGUAAAUGGUACCAUAAAUAUGAAAACUGUUGUUAACAGCAGCUAAACUUUCAGGAGAUAAACUUUCAGGAGAUGAUUUAACAGUAAUAAUUACUGUUAAUUAAGCAAAAUCACAAAUCUGAAAAUUAUCAUUCAGUUUCAUGGACUUUGCCCUAUCAUCAUCAGUGACCAGGCCUGACUCUGUCUGUAGCAGGUCUGCAGCAGAGCCAGGACUUGUAACCAGAUCUUGCACAUUCCAGGUCUGAGCAACAUAUCUUCAGUUUAUUUAUUUUUCAUCUGUGACAUACUUCUUUCUUUAGCUUGAACCCAUUUUUAAAAGCUAAUUAAACCUUAAUGAGAAAUCCUGUAAUUUACAUACAUUUUGUGGCUUAGAAUCUUCUGAAGGGAUCUGGAAUCAGCUCAGAUUUUCUUAGCAGUAAGGAUCUUGGCAAUUUUCUACCUUUGUACUAAUUUCCAUGAUUCUAUCACUUUUGUUUCUGAACACUUCACAACAGUCUUUAAAUACCAUUAUAAUCACCAUGUGUGAAGUAUAAGUGUAUUUAUCAACAGGUGGCAAACUAUGGCAUGAAGAUGUUUGAGCUCAGUGGUGUAACUGGUCCUGUGCAAAAGUUGUGUCUGCUCUGAAAACUGAUGAUAAUUUUGUAGUUCUGUCCUCUUGAACACCAUAUGGAGAUUCUGUAGUGAUCAUAAAUACAUGUAUUUUUAUUCCCCAACUUUACCAUUUCAAACAUGAGCAUGUUGAACUGUGCUUCCUGCUCUUGUCCUCAUAGAUUAUAAAAGGAUUUUCUGUUUCUAUUUGUUUGUGUGUGUGUUUGGAUGCAAUUUUAAUUCUCUCAUUCCCUAUUAUGUUGGACAUCUGCAAGGAAAAUUAUGUGAAAAUUUCAGGCCCCUAAUGAAUGAGUUGCAAAGCAAUGAAUGCUUCUACUUAUAGAAGGAAUGUAUUGCAUAAAGUGCAAUAGUGAGCUGGGUUAAAAAGUUGUUUUACUGUGAAUUUUACCUGUACUUGCACAUAUAUUUCAAGACAGAUUUUUUUUUUAAGGGUCCAGAGAUUCCCAGUAGCCUCUGCCUCCUCUCUGAUAAACUAACUUCAAGAUUCUUAUAAUUCUAAGGAAAGGGUCAAAAAAAGGGGCAGAGCAGAGCUGGUUGUGUCUGAGCUUCUUUUUAAGAAAAUCCCUACUCUUAUCCCCUGUGUUGGAGGGUCAGAGUGGCUUUGUGUCUUGCACUUGGCUGGCUGUGCUUGUAAAUACUUGGGUAUUGCCACAUAUCAUCAUUACUGGAGCUUUUACUUGUUAAAGAAACUUCUGCUGCCCGAUCUUCUGUUACUUUAUGCCCAUAAUUUACAGAUACAAUAUAACAUAUAUUCACUCUAA